CAACUUGAGAGUUUGAUCCUGGCUCAGAACGAACGCUGGCGGCAGGCCUAACACAUGCAAGUCGAGCGCACUCUUCGGAGUGAGCGGCGGACGGGUUAGUAAC
RNAcentral lists this ribosomal RNA (103 nucleotides) under Thalassovita sp. Its description in RNAcentral is "partial 16S ribosomal RNA". It matches the Rfam family "Bacterial small subunit ribosomal RNA", at positions 1 to 114 of the family's 1533-position model. Lineage: Bacteria; Pseudomonadati; Pseudomonadota; Alphaproteobacteria; Rhodobacterales; Roseobacteraceae. The record is from RNAcentral.